AACGAACGCUGGCGGCGUGGAUAAGACAUGCAAGUCGAACGCGAUUUUUCCGGUUAGCAAUAACUGGAAAAAUUGAGUGGCGAAUGGGUGCGUAACACGUGGGAAUUUAUCCGGAAGUGGGGGAUAGCUUGCCGAAAGGCAAAUUAAUACCGCAUAUGCCCGUAAGGGCAAAGUGGGGGACCGCAAGGCCUCACGCUAUCGGAGGAGCCCGCGCCCUAUCAGCUAGUUGGUGAGGUAAUGGCUCACCAAGGCUUAGACGGGUAGCUGGUCUGAGAGGACGACCAGCCACACUGGAACUGAGACACGGUCCAGACACCUACGGGUGGCAGCAGUCGAGGAUUUUUCUCAAUGGGGGCAACCCUGAAGGAGCGACGCCGCGUGGAGGAUGAAGGGCUUCGGCUCGUAAACUCCUGUCACCGACGAACAAGGCAUUCGGAUUAAUAAAUCGGAUGCUUGAUGGUAGUC
RNAcentral lists this ribosomal RNA (465 nucleotides) under uncultured bacterium. RNAcentral describes it as "bacterial SSU rRNA". It matches the Rfam family "Bacterial small subunit ribosomal RNA", at positions 29 to 480 of the family's 1533-position model. The record is from RNAcentral.